GUUCCUCACUGGUUCCUUCCGUUUUUACUGCUGUCUGGUCGGCUGUCCGGUCGUGCAUGAUUUCUCCAUGGUUCAAGUUGCCUCCUGCUAGUCUGCUUGAUUCUACCAAGGACCAUCUGUUGGGGCCUGCUUCCUUUUAGUACCUGUGAGGUGUGGGCGUAUCCACUUAUCCAGAACCAUGUUCUAACCUGGAUUUCAUACCUACUGUUUGACCUUCGAUCUCCUUCAUUUAUUGGAUGUCUGGUUUGGCUCCCUAAGACCCCUGGACUCCCGGAUACCCAACCUCCACUGUAACCUCCAUGAACUGUCUGCCUGCCUGGAACCCAAGAAACCAAGAAGCCUUUGUGCCCUCCUGUGGUUGACUGACCUGAGAAAGACCUGAACUUAGUUUGUGCUGUGAAAAUAAACCUUUUUUCUAAAGAACUAUUUUGCUCCUGAGUGAGGUUUUGCUUGUGGGUCAGACAUUUACCUAAAGCGAUGACACCAUCUAAGUUAUUUUUCAAGUGGAGUAACAUGUUUCUUUUUACACUAUCAACAUUCUUCUUUAAACUUUCAUUUGCACUUUAACUCUUUUGUAUAGGCAGGGGAAGGCAUGCAAUAUUGGUAGAUGAUGCUUCAGCAUGACAAAUAGCUACAGUCAUAUUCAGUAAAUUAGAAUUUGCGUUCUGAUGAGACUCCUUUGUUAGAUUGGAACUACGUUUUGAAAACACCAACCUGGAUGUUAUUGGUGCCUAGGAAUUAUAACUUCUAAAACAUUCCUGUUACAGUGAAAAACACAAUCCCCACAGCAUGAUGCGGCCAUCACCAUAUUUCAACAUGAGCAUGGAGUCACGGGGUGUUAGAUUUCCCCCACACAUUGUUUGUUUGUAGGCUAGAAACCUUAAUUUAGUCUUAUUGUACAGGAACACAUUUCUUCCAUGUUAAAGACGGUUUGUGAGGGGCAGCUAAUAGCUGUCCUGCUUUAAACGUCUCACCAACUUUUCCCCUGACCUGCCUGCUCUGUUCCUUGGCCUUCAUGAUGCUUUGUGUUCUCUAAUGUUCUCUUACAGAUCUCUGAGGCCUUCACAAAAUUAAAUUACACACAGGUGCACUCUGUUUAAAAAUAGGUGACUUCGAAGGCAGUUGGUUUUAUUGUAGUUCAUUUAGGUUUAUUGAGUUACAGGGGGCUGAAUGCAUAUGGAUGUCAAACCUUUCAGCUUGUUUUUUGAAAUCUGUUGAAAAUACGUAUGUUUUUCCUUUCGCUUCACUGUAAUGUGCUCUGCACAUACUAUCCCAAUUACACAUAUUGAUGUUUUUCGUUUGAUGUGACACAAUGUGAGAAAGAUCAACAGGGAUAAAUACUAUUACAAGGGUUAGGGUUGUCAUGCCCAUGCUGUAAGGAAUAUGUAAUAUGUGCAAAAUGCUGUUCAUAUAAAUCUUUUUACCAGUUUUGUGUUGUUACCAACUGUGGUUGAUGAUCAAAUUCUUUUGUCUUUGUUUGUGUGUCAAUGUUUUAAAAUAUAGAAAUGUGUUCCUGUUGUUUCUUUAAAAUUUGCA
Molecule: long non-coding RNA, 1536 nt
Organism: Girardinichthys multiradiatus
Lineage: Eukaryota; Metazoa; Chordata; Actinopteri; Cyprinodontiformes; Goodeidae
Exons: 3
Source: RefSeq, a predicted model, not a curated record